CGGGUAGAGUAACACGUGAGCAACCUGCCUUUCAGUGGGGGACAACAUUUGGAAACGAAUGCUAAUACCGCAUAAGACCACAGUGUCGCAUGGCACAGGGGUCAAAGGAUUUAUCCGCUGAAAGAUGGGCUCGCGUCCGAUUAGCUAGAUGGUGAGGUAACGGCCCACCAUGGCGACGAUCGGUAGCCGGACUGAGAGGUUGAACGGCCACAUUGGGACUGAGACACGGCCCAGACUCCUACGGGAGGCAGCAUG
Molecule: ribosomal RNA, 255 nt
Filed under: uncultured bacterium
Lineage: Bacteria
Description: partial 16S ribosomal RNA
Rfam family: Bacterial small subunit ribosomal RNA
Source: RNAcentral